Molecule: ribosomal RNA, 272 nt
Filed under: uncultured bacterium
Lineage: Bacteria
Description: partial 16S ribosomal RNA
Rfam family: Bacterial small subunit ribosomal RNA
Source: RNAcentral
AGCGAACGCUGGCGGCGUGCUUAACACAUGCAAGUCGCGCGGGAAAGAGACUUUCGGGUCUUGAGUAGAGCGGCGGACGGGUGCGUAAGACGCGGGUGACCUAUCCGAGAGGCGGGGAUAACCCAGCGAAAGCGGGGCUAAUACCGGAUGAGCCCCCAGGCGGAAACGCGCGGGGGCAAAGGAUGCUACUCGAUAGUGGCAUGUCCUCACGGAGGGGCCCACGGCCUAUCAGCAGUUGGUGUGGUAACGGCGCACCAAGGCGAAGACGGGUA